RNAcentral lists this ribosomal RNA (253 nucleotides) under uncultured bacterium. RNAcentral's name for it is "partial 16S ribosomal RNA". It matches the Rfam family "Bacterial small subunit ribosomal RNA", at positions 524 to 776 of the family's 1533-position model. The record is from RNAcentral.
GACGAAGGAUGCAAGCGUUAUCCGGAUUCAUUGGGUUUAAGGGGAGCGUAGGUGGCCUUAUAAGUCAGUGGUGAAAUCUCGCAGCUUAACUGCGAAAUUGCCAUUGAUACUGUAGGGCUUGAGUACAGUUGCCGUUGGCGGAAUAUGACAUGUAGUGGUGAAAUGCGUAGAGAUCGGGAGGAACACCAGUGGCGAAGGCGGCUACCUGGACCAGCACUGACACUGAGGCACGAAAGCGUGGGGAGCAAACGGG